CGAAAACGAAUUCUCUCUUGAGUGGAUCCUGAGUACGACGGAGCACGUGAAAUUCCGUCGGAAUCUGGGAGGACCAUCUCCUAAGGCUAAAUACUCUCUAGUGACCGAUAGUGAACCAGUACCGUGAGGGAAAGGUGAAAAGUACCCCGGAAGGGGAGUGAAAGAGAACUUGAAACCGUGUGCUUACAAGUAGUCAGAGCCCGUUAAUGGGUGAUGGCGUGCCUUUUGUAGAAUGAACCGGCGAGUUACGAUCUGAUGCAAGGUUAAGCAGAAAAUGUGGAGCCGUAGCGAAAGCGAGUCUGAAUAGGGCGAAUGAGUAUUUGGUCGUAGACCCGAAACCAGGUGAUCUACCCUUGGUCAGGUUGAAGUUCAGGUAACACUGAAUGGAGGACCGAACCGACUUACGUUGAAAAGUGAGCGGAUGAACUGAGGGUAGCGGAGAAAUUCCAAUCGAACUUGGAGAUAGCUGGUUCUCUCCGAAAUAGCUUUAGGGCUAGCCUCAAGUGAUGAUUAUUGGAGGUAGAGCACUGUUUGGACGAGGGGCCCCUCUCGGGUUACCGAAUUCAGACAAACUCCGAAUGCCAAAUAAUUUAACUUGGGAGUCAGAAUGUGGGUGAUAAGGUCCAUAUUCGAAAGGGAAACAGCCCAGACCACCAGCUAAGGUCCCAAAAUAUAUGUUAAGUGGAAAAGGAUGUGGCGUUGCCCAGACAACUAGGAUGUUGGCUUAGAAGCAGCCAUCAUUUAAAGAGUGCGUAAUAGCUCACUAGUCGAGUGACACUGCGCCGAAAAUGUACCGGGGCUAAACAUAUUACCGAAGCUGUGGAUUGUCCUUUGGACAAUGGUAGGAGAGCGUUCUAAGGGCGUUGAAGCAUGAUCGCAAGGACAUGUGGAGCGCUUAGAAGUGAGAAUGCCGGUGUGAGUAGCGAAAGACGGGUGAGAAUCCCGUCCACCGAUUGACUAAGGUUUCCAGAGGAAGGCUCGUCCGCUCUGGGUUAGUCGGGUCCUAAGCUGAGGCCGACAGGCGUAGGCGAUGGAUAACAGGUUGAUAUUCCUGUACCACCAUUAUUCGUUUUAAGCGAUGGGGGGACGCAGUAGGAUAGGCGAAGCGUGCUGUUGGAGUGCACGUCCAAGCAGUGAGAUUGAGUGUUAGGCAAAUCCGGCACUCUUAAGAUUGAGCUGUGAUGGGGAGAGGAACUUGUUCCUCGAGUCGUUGAUUUCACACUGCCGAGAAAAGCCUCUAGCUAGAAUAACGGUGCCCGUACCGCAAACCGACACAGGUAGUCAAGAUGAGAAUUCUAAGGUGAGCGAGCGAACUCUCGUUAAGGAACUCGGCAAAAUGACCCCGUAACUUCGGGAGAAGGGGUGCUCUUUGAGGUUCACGCUUCGAAGAGCCGCAGUGAAUAGGCCCAAGCGACUGUUUAUCAAAAACACAGGUCUCUGCUAAACCGUAAGGUGACGUAUAGGGGCUGACGCCUGCCCGGUGCUGGAAGGUUAAGAGGAGUGGUUAGCGCAAGCGAAGCUACGAAUCGAAGCCCCAGUAAACGGCGGCCGUAACUAUAACGGUCCUAAGGUAGCGAAAUUCCUUGUCGGGUAAGUUCCGACCCGCACGAAAGGCGUAACGAUUUGGGCACUGUCUCAACGAGAGACUCGGUGAAAUCAUAGUACCGGUGAAGAUGCCGGUUACCCGCGACAGGACGGAAAGACCCCGUGGAGCUUUACUGUAGCCUGAUAUUGAAAUUCGGUACAGUUUGUACAGGAUAGGUAGGAGCCUUAGAAGCGUGAGCGCUAGCUUACGUGGAGGCAUUGGUGGGAUACUACCCUAAUUGUAUUGGAUUUCUAACCCGCAGCACUUAUCGUGCUGGGAGACAGUGUCAGGCGGGCAGUUUGACUGGGGCGGUCGCCUCCUAAAGAGUAACGGAGGCGCUCAAAGGUUCCCUCAGAAUGGUUGGAAAUCAUUCAUAGAGUGUAAAGGCAUAAGGGAGCUUGACUGCGAGACCUACAAGUCGAGCAGGGUCGAAAGACGGACUUAGUGAUCCGGUGGUUCCGCAUGGAAGGGCCAUCGCUCAACGGAUAAAAGCUACCCCGGGGAUAACAGGCUUAUCUCCCCCAAGAGUUCACAUCGACGGGGAGGUUUGGCACCUCGAUGUCGGCUCAUCGCAUCCUGGGGCUGUAGUCGGUCCCAAGGGUUGGGCUGUUCGCCCAUUAAAGCGGUACGCGAGCUGGGUUCAGAACGUCGUGAGACAGUUCGGUCCCUAUCCGUCGUGGGCGUAGGAAAUUUGAGAGGAG
This 2286-nucleotide ribosomal RNA is filed under the name Staphylococcus pseudintermedius. RNAcentral describes it as "partial 23S ribosomal RNA". It matches the Rfam family "Bacterial large subunit ribosomal RNA", at positions 380 to 2671 of the family's 2925-position model. Lineage: Bacteria; Bacillati; Bacillota; Bacilli; Caryophanales; Staphylococcaceae. The record is from RNAcentral.